This 486-nucleotide ribosomal RNA is filed under the name uncultured bacterium. RNAcentral's name for it is "bacterial SSU rRNA". It matches the Rfam family "Bacterial small subunit ribosomal RNA", at positions 29 to 534 of the family's 1533-position model. The record is from RNAcentral.
AACGAACGCUGGCGGCAUGCCUAACACAUGCAAGUCGAACGAGACCUUCGGGUCUAGUGGCGCACGGGUGCGUAACACGUGGGAAUUUGCCUCGGGGUAUGGAAUAACUCAGGGAAACUUGAGCUAAUACCAUAUAAUGUCUUCGGACCAAAGAUUUAUCGCCCUGAGAUAAGCCCGCGUAGGAUUAGCUAGUUGGUGAGGUAAAGGCUCACCAAGGCGACGAUCCGUAACUGGUCUGAGAGGAUGAUCAGUCACACUGGAACUGAGACACGGUCCAGACUCCUACGGGAGGCAGCAGUGGGGAAUAUUGGACAAUGGGCGAAAGCCUGAUCCAGCCAUGCCGCGUGUGUGAAGAAGGUCUUCGGAUUGUAAAGCACUUUAAAGUUGGGAGGAAGGGCAGUAAGUUAAUACCUUGCUGUUUUGACGUUACCAACAGAAUAAGCACCGGCUAACUUCGUGCCAGCAGCCGCGGUAAAGUGACUACUG